Molecule: ribosomal RNA, 446 nt
Filed under: uncultured bacterium
Lineage: Bacteria
Description: SSU rRNA
Rfam family: Bacterial small subunit ribosomal RNA
Source: RNAcentral
AGAACGAACGCUGGCGGCAGGCCUCAAACAUGCAAGUCUAGGGGAUGUAGCAAUACAUCACCGGCGGACGGGUGCGUAACACGUGGGAAUAUACCUUUCGGUACGGAACAACUGCGGGAAACUGCAGCUAAUACCGUAUACGUCCUUACGGAGAAAGAUUUAUCGCCGAAGGAUUAGCCCGCGUUCGAUUAGCUAGUUGGUGAGGUAAUGGCUCACCAAGGCGACGAUCGAUAGCUGUUCUGAGAGGAAGAUCAGCCACACUGGGACUGAGACACGGCCCAGACUCCUACGGGAGGCAGCAGUUGGGAAUCUUCCGCAAUGGACGAAAGUCUGACGGAGCAACACCGCGUGCAGGAUGACGGCCUUCGGGUUGUAAACUGCUUUUAUUUGGGAAGAUUAUGGCGGUACAAAUGAAUAAGGACCGCUAACUUCGUGCCAGCAGCCGC